CGAACCCACCUUUCUUCCCCGGUCAAGCCUCCACGGCUCCACCCAUCUACCCCCCAAUGCCCACCUCCUGACCACCACCCACGCCCCAGCGCCAUCACGCCCAUGACCACGAGCAUGGCGCCCCAGCAACCACCCGCGCCGCCCGCCCCGGGCUGCGUCCCGCUCCACCCCGUCCCAGCCAGCACCGCGUGCCGCCCGACCCAAGGACCAACCGCGCCGCCCACCCCAAGGGUCACCUGCGCCGCCUGCCCUGGACAGCAUCGAGCGCCGCCCCGCGCGUCGCCCGCCCCGACCUCCAUCUCCUGCGCCGCCCCACUGGAUCCAUCGUCGCCGUCACCGGCUACUCUAGAUCUGGCGAUAGGGAAGCCCCACCGCCGCCUGGUGCAGGUGCAGUGUUGCACUGCCUGCCGCCCUGCCUCCUACUCUGGUGACCGGCUGUUCCCCGGAACCUCGACGACCUCCUACUAGAUCCGGCCGCCGUAUUCUACCUUCUCUGCUGCAAAAAAGAGGGUGCGUCGGCUACAUCCGACGACCUCCUGCCGGUGGCCGCGGCCGGAUCCAAACCUCCAACGACAUGAUCCAUUGCGGCCAUGCCUUGCCUCGCCCACCUGCUCGCUGAUCCGUGGCUCCAAGUUCUUUCUUCAUGCAUGUGAAGUUCGCUAUUGUUCAUCGGCUCCCAGUUCGUGCAUGUGCAGUUCUCUUUGUUUUUGCAGAGCAGCGACAGAAGAUCCGACAGAGGGUGGUGACCCCUCUUCCACCUACCUUUGCCGGCGUGCACUGCAGGCAACAGCAGCGUGCACUGCAGGCAACGGUGGCAUGCACUGCAGGCAGCAGCAGCAUGCACUGCAGGCACCAAUGGCGUGCACUACAGGGAGCAGCAGCAGUGUGCACUCCAGGCAGCAACAGCGUGCAGUGCGGCGACCAUUCCCAUGGGUGCACAGGUACAGUGCUGCGGGGGUUGGACAUGCAGUGCGCAAGCACCGGCUUGCCUUUCACGGGCAAAAUUAUGAAUUUAUUUUUAAGUCCUUCAUCAUUGUGAUUUGUAUGUGUUUGUACCGUGGAUAAAGAGAAGCAUUGCAGCCCUGUCUCUUAGCCCAUAGACCCACCAAUCACAGCUCUCCCAAGAACGUGCAUUGAAGAAAACAAAACAAUAAUUUUUUUGAAAUGCAGCUCACUUGUUUGAUCGCUGCAGCGAUUUUCUUUUUC
Triticum dicoccoides is the source of this 1206-nucleotide long non-coding RNA. RefSeq lists it as uncharacterized. Lineage: Eukaryota; Viridiplantae; Streptophyta; Magnoliopsida; Poales; Poaceae. The transcript is spliced from 2 exons. The record is from RefSeq and is a predicted model, not a curated record.